RNAcentral lists this ribosomal RNA (532 nucleotides) under uncultured bacterium. RNAcentral's name for it is "bacterial SSU rRNA". It matches the Rfam family "Bacterial small subunit ribosomal RNA", at positions 777 to 1308 of the family's 1533-position model. The record is from RNAcentral.
AAUAGAUACCCUGUAGUCCACGCCGUAAACGAUGAGUGCUAGGUGUUGGGGGGGUCCACCCCUCGGUGCCGAAGUUAACACAUUAAGCACUCCGCCUGGGGAGUACGGUCGCAAGACUGAAACUCAAAGGAAUUGACGGGGACCCGCACAAGCAGUGGAGUAUGUGGUUUAAUUCGAAGCAACGCGAAGAACCUUACCAGGUCUUGACAUCCCUCUGAAUCCUCUAGAGAUAGAGGCGGCCUUCGGGACAGAGGAGACAGGUGGUGCAUGGUUGUCGUCAGCUCGUGUCGUGAGAUGUUGGGUUAAGUCCCGCAACGAGCGCAACCCUUGAAUUUAGUUGCCAGCACGUUAAGGUGGGCACUCUAGAUUGACUGCCGGUGACAAACCGGAGGAAGGCGGGGAUGACGUCAAAUCAUCAUGCCCCUUAUGACCUGGGCUACACACGUACUACAAUGGCCGGUACAACGGGCAGCGAAGGAGCGAUCCGGAGCCAAUCCUACCAAAGCCGGUCUCAGUUCGGAUUGCAGGCUGC